UUUUGCUCAUAUUACAUAUAUUUGGUGAAAUUUGAUAUUUUUUUCCAAAAACAGAGGGUCGGAGGAGGUCGGCCCGGCGCCUAAGACUAGGUUCCCGACUCUAAGAUUCUACUCGGGUACUUCUUCUGUUUGUGUAUAUACCACUGGAGAUCUGGAAAACGUUGUGGCCCCAGGUUGCCAAAGGAGGGGCUAUAUGUGCCGCUACGGAAUAUGUCAAGAUGUUGACAGCGGCAGGAUCUGUCAUCAAUCUGGCAGCUGUCAGCCUAGAGAGGGUGCUUUGUGUUUGCUAAACGAGGAACAAUUACACUCACACUGCAAUCUAGCGAAGCUUAUUCCAACUGACGUAUUCUAUGGAAUAAGUUAAGUUA
Eurytemora carolleeae is the source of this 368-nucleotide long non-coding RNA. RefSeq lists it as uncharacterized. NCBI's taxonomy places the organism in Eukaryota, Metazoa, Arthropoda, Copepoda, Calanoida, Temoridae. The transcript is spliced from 3 exons. The record is from RefSeq and is a predicted model, not a curated record.